AGUUUUCAUUUGUGGUGAGAUUCUCUCCCAGGCCACAAGACAUUUCCUGCUCGGAACCUUGUUUACUAAUUGGAUCUAUUUGUGAUGACUAUAUGGCAACUCUUUGCUGUCCUCAUUGUACUCUUUGCCAAAUCAAGAGAGAUAUCAACAGAAGGAGAGCCAUGCGUACUUUCUAAAAACUGAUGGUGAAAAGCUCUUACCGAAGCAACAAAAUUCAGCAGACACCUCUUCAGCUUGAGUUCUUCACCAUCUUUUGCAACUGAAAUAUGAUGGAUAUGCUUAAGUACAACUGAUGGCAUGAAAAAAAUCAAAUUUUUGAUUUAUUAUAAAUGAAUGUUGUCCCUGAACUUAGCUAAAUGGUGCA
RNAcentral lists this long non-coding RNA (364 nucleotides) under Homo sapiens (human). Its description in RNAcentral is "non-protein coding lnc-LIN54-3:1". Lineage: Eukaryota; Metazoa; Chordata; Mammalia; Primates; Hominidae. The record is from RNAcentral.